This 441-nucleotide ribosomal RNA is filed under the name uncultured bacterium. Its description in RNAcentral is "bacterial SSU rRNA". It matches the Rfam family "Bacterial small subunit ribosomal RNA", at positions 366 to 793 of the family's 1533-position model. The record is from RNAcentral.
GCACAAUGGGCGCAAGCCUGAUGCAGCCAUGCCGCGUGUAUGAACGAAGGCCUUCGGGUUGUAAAGUACUUCAGCAGUGAGGAAGGUGGAUAUGUUAAUAGCAUAUUCAUUUGACGUUAGCUGCAGAAGAAGCACCGGCUAACUCCGUGCCAGCAGCCGCGGUAAUACGGAGGGUGCGAGCGUUAAUCGGAAUUACUGGGCGUAAAGCGCAUGCAGGUGGUUUGUUAAGUCAGAUGUGAAAGCCCGGGGCUCAACCUCGGAAUUGCAUUUGAAACUGGCAAACUAGAGUACUGUAGAGGGGGGUAGAAUUUCAGGUGUAGCGGUGAAAUGCGUAGAGAUCUGAAGGAAUACCGGUGGCGAAGGCGGCCCCCUGGACAGAUACUGACACUCAGAUGCGAAAGCGUCGGGGAGCCAAACAGGAGUUACGUAUACCCUCGGUAG